AGUAAUCAAGCAUGAGCAUCUGAUGCUAUAACCUGCACCUUCAAGUGCAUACAGGUCGAUCUGCCAAUAUCUCUUAUUCCAUUCUCCGAAAUCACCACCAUUGAUCCACUAUCAUCCUUCUAUCGUAACUUGCAUGCGCGAUUAUUCCAAUUCCUUUUUCACAGCAGAGAAGGCUAUAGCCUAUAAAAAGGACAGGCUCAGUAGAAGUAAGUAGUUAAGGCCAUCAAGUUACACAACACACACAUUUCAUAUCUCUGUGAAAGAGUUUCCAAGUUUCUAAAAGUAUGGCAUCAAUGAAGGCCGAGAGAGGAGUUGGGACUCAACUGUUUGGGCAGUCCAAGAAAGAACCUGCCGUCGCCAAGGCCGGCGAUGGUGCAGCCAAAACUUCAGCAUCUAAAGCAGGACCAAAGAAGGCUGCAGCCAAGCCGGCUCCUGCACCCAAGAAGAAGGGUAAAGGUGGCAAAGCUGCAGCCAAGAACUGACCAAAUUGCUGAUGAAUGCUUAUAUAACAAGAGACAAAAGCAUAUAGGAAAAAAAAAAUUUCAUUUCUUAUUGUCUCGUAAUAUUGUACUUUGGAAUUUGUAAUCAAUGAGUGCGAGCUUGGGAACUUCGAUUUGAUCCAUGUAAGCAAUUCCAUUGAAAUAAAUAUACCUUUUCAGCUA
Molecule: long non-coding RNA, 662 nt
Organism: Rosa rugosa (rugosa rose)
Lineage: Eukaryota; Viridiplantae; Streptophyta; Magnoliopsida; Rosales; Rosaceae
Exons: 2
Source: RefSeq, a predicted model, not a curated record